ACGAACGCUGGCGGCGUGCUUCACACAUGCAAGUCGCACGGAAAGGCCCUGCUUUUGUGGGGUGCUCGAGUGGCGAACGGGUGAGUAACACGUGAGUAACCUGCCCUUGACUUUGGGAUAACUUCAGGAAACUGGGGCUAAUACCGGAUAGGAGCUCCUGCUGCAUGGUGGGGGUUGGAAGGUUCGGCGGUUGGGGAUGGACUCGCGGCUUAUCAGCUUGUUGGUGGGGUAGUGGCUUACCAAGGCUUUGACGGGUAGCCGGCCUGAGAGGGUGACCGGCCACAUUGGGACUGAGAUACGGCCCAGACUCCUACGGGAGGCAGCAGUGGGGAAUAUUGCACAAUGGGCGGAAGCCUGAUGCAGCAACGCCGCGUGCGGGAUGACGGCCUUCGGGUUGUAAACCGCUUUCGCCUGUGACGAAGCGUGAGUGACGGUAAUGGGUAAAGAAGCACCGGCUAACUACGUG
RNAcentral lists this ribosomal RNA (466 nucleotides) under uncultured bacterium. RNAcentral's name for it is "partial 16S ribosomal RNA". It matches the Rfam family "Bacterial small subunit ribosomal RNA", at positions 29 to 507 of the family's 1533-position model. The record is from RNAcentral.